AUCAAUGCGACGUGUCUCUAAAACCUCUCCCUCCCCUCUGCACAGAGCACUCACAAUUCUUCUCUUCCUUUUCUCCUUCCCAUUCCAUUUCCCCACCCACCCCACUCAAAAACUCCAGCACCACCUCCAGAUUUGGACUCAUCACUAACAUUCCAUGACUUUGAUUUCCCGCGGGCGAAUUCCGGCCGAAAUAUAAUAUACCCACAAAUUACAGGGUAAAAUUUUCCUUCUUUCGCCAGAGGUUUUGUAUGACUUGAGAAAAGAAACCAAAGAAACGAACAGGGUCUCUCUUCUUUUCUUUGCUGGGUCUGAAUUUCGUCGGCGGGCAAUGUUAAUGGGCGAUCUUGAAGUCUGCUCAAACGGCGGGAAAUUCUUGAGGAGGAGGCCAGACGGCCACUGUUUCGAAGACGUGCAGUUACCCUCUACCAUGGUGGUUGGUUCGAGG
This 445-nucleotide long non-coding RNA is filed under the name Linum usitatissimum (flax). RNAcentral describes it as "long non-coding RNA (LUSI_LNC001597)". Lineage: Eukaryota; Viridiplantae; Streptophyta; Magnoliopsida; Malpighiales; Linaceae. The record is from RNAcentral.